UGCCCAUCUUGGUCUUUUGGCUAAGAUCAAGCAUUUUUGGCACUACUGGGAAGGUGUCAGGGCUGGCUCUGGUCCUCCCAGUAUCAGCCUGGUAUUGCAGUACUUCUAGGCCUGGUGCCAGUUCC
RNAcentral lists this small nuclear RNA (125 nucleotides) under Alligator sinensis (Chinese alligator). RNAcentral's name for it is "U2 spliceosomal RNA". It matches the Rfam family "U2 spliceosomal RNA". Rfam says of the family: U2 is a small nuclear RNA (snRNA) component of the spliceosome (involved in pre-mRNA splicing). Complementary binding between U2 snRNA (in an area lying towards the 5' end but 3' to hairpin I) and the branchpoint sequence (BPS) of the intron results the bulging out of an unpaired adenosine, on the BPS, which initiates a nucleophilic attack at the intronic 5' splice site, thus starting the first of two transesterification reactions that mediate splicing. Lineage: Eukaryota; Metazoa; Chordata; Crocodylia; Alligatoridae. The record is from Rfam by way of RNAcentral.